UAAGGGAUAUUGCACAAUGGACGGAAGUCUGAUGCAGCGACGCCGCGUGGGCGAAGAAGGUUUUCGGAUCGUAAAGUCCUUUUCUAUGUGACGAGAUAGGGCGGUAGCAUAGGAAUAAGUGUCGGCUAACUACGUG
This 136-nucleotide ribosomal RNA is filed under the name uncultured bacterium. RNAcentral's name for it is "partial 16S ribosomal RNA". It matches the Rfam family "Bacterial small subunit ribosomal RNA", at positions 355 to 507 of the family's 1533-position model. The record is from RNAcentral.